CUACGGGGUGCAGCAGUGAGGAAUAUUGCGCAAUGGGGGAAACCCUGACGCAGCGACGCCGCGUGGAUGAUGAAGGCCUUAGGGUCGUAAAAUCCUGUCAGGUGGGAAGAAGUGGAUAUAGAUUAAUACUCUAUUUCUUUGACGGUACCACCAAAGGAAGCACCGGCUAACUCCGUGCCAGCAGCCGCGGUAAUACGGAGGGUGCAAACGUUGUUCGGAAUUACUGGGCGUAAAGCGCGCGUAGGCGGUUUGUUAAGUCAGAUGUGAAAGUCCAUGGCUGAACUAUGGAAGUGCAUUUGAAACUGGCAGACUUGAGUACUGGAGGGGGUGAUGGAAUUCCAGGUGUAGAGGUGAAAUUCGUAGAUAUCGGGAGGAAUACCGGUGGCGAAGGCGAUCACCUGGCCAGAUACUGACGCUGAGGUGCGAAAGCGUGGGGAGCAAACAGGAUUAGAUACCCCUGUAGUC
This 465-nucleotide ribosomal RNA is filed under the name uncultured bacterium. RNAcentral describes it as "partial 16S ribosomal RNA". It matches the Rfam family "Bacterial small subunit ribosomal RNA", at positions 339 to 795 of the family's 1533-position model. The record is from RNAcentral.